This 201-nucleotide ribosomal RNA is filed under the name Triticum aestivum (bread wheat). RNAcentral's name for it is "partial small subunit ribosomal RNA". The record is from RNAcentral. Lineage: Eukaryota; Viridiplantae; Streptophyta; Magnoliopsida; Poales; Poaceae.
AUGUGCUACCAGGUGAAGUGCGCCACUUGCGGCAAGUCCACGUGGGCGGGCUGCGGCCGCCACGUCGCCUCCGUGCACCGGCAGAUCCCCGACGGCCAGCACUGCGCCUGCCGCGACUGGCCGGGCGUCUCCGCCGACGCCAACGCCGCCGGCUCCACCUCCGGCGCCGUCAAGGAGUCCUCCACCUGCGUCAUCCUGUGA